GCGCACCAGGCGCGAAUAUUCGGCAAUGGGCGAAAGCCUGACCGAGCGACGCCGCGUGCGGGAUGAAGGCCUUUCGGGUUGGUAAAACCGCUUUUCUAAGGGAAAAAUUGUGUCUCACUGUUGUUUGGAGAAAAAUAAUAAGAAUAAGGUGGAUGGCCGUAGAGUUCCGUGACUUCCGCAGGUUUUUCAUAAAAAUACCAAAUUACAGUGAGGC
This 214-nucleotide ribosomal RNA is filed under the name uncultured microorganism. RNAcentral describes it as "partial 16S ribosomal RNA". It matches the Rfam family "Bacterial small subunit ribosomal RNA", at positions 346 to 509 of the family's 1533-position model. The record is from RNAcentral.